Molecule: microRNA, 22 nt
Filed under: Ornithorhynchus anatinus (platypus)
Lineage: Eukaryota; Metazoa; Chordata; Mammalia; Monotremata; Ornithorhynchidae
Description: oan-miR-1327-5p
Source: miRBase by way of RNAcentral
UAAAAGGCUGUUAAAUGAUGAU